This 468-nucleotide ribosomal RNA is filed under the name uncultured bacterium. RNAcentral describes it as "partial 16S ribosomal RNA". It matches the Rfam family "Bacterial small subunit ribosomal RNA", at positions 28 to 507 of the family's 1533-position model. The record is from RNAcentral.
GAUGAACGCUGGCGGCGUGCUUAACACAUGCAAGUCGAACGGUGAAAGCGGAGCUUGCUCUGCUGGAUCAGUGGCGAACGGGUGAGUAACACGUGAGCAAUCUGCCCCUGACUCUGGGAUAAGCGCUGGAAACGGCGUCUAAUACUGGAUACGAGCUGCGAAGGCAUCUUCAGCAGCUGGAAAGAACUUCGGUCAGGGAUGAGCUCGCGGCCUAUCAGCUUGUUGGUGAGGUAACGGCUCACCAAGGCGUCGACGGGUAGCCGGCCUGAGAGGGUGACCGGCCACACUGGGACUGAGACACGGCCCAGACUCCUACGGGAGGCAGCAGUGGGGAAUAUUGCACAAUGGGCGAAAGCCUGAUGCAGCAACGCCGCGUGAGGGACGACGGCCUUCGGGUUGUAAACCUCUUUUAGCAGGGAAGAAGCGAAAGUGACGGUACCUGCAGAAAAAGCGCCGGCUAACUACGUG